Manis javanica (Malayan pangolin) is the source of this 663-nucleotide non-coding RNA. The record is from RefSeq and is a predicted model, not a curated record. Lineage: Eukaryota; Metazoa; Chordata; Mammalia; Pholidota; Manidae.
UGGGGACCUGGAGGCUUUAAUACCUGAGCGGUGGGGCAAAGGCUAAGCAGCGGCCCUGGGGAAAGUCGAUGAUGAUCUUUGCUCUUUCAUAGCCACCUUGAUAUAGUGUGGCAUCAGUUUUUACUUUGCCAAAGGGCAACACUUCUGUACUUUUGCAAAGUUGAGAGGCAAACAAAGUGCUUUUCCUGAUUCAUCUCCAGUGUUGGGCAGAGGAGAGGGCACGGUUCUAAAGAAGGCCGCUCAGACGUGCAGGGCGAGUGGGAAUUCUCCGACAAAGCAGCAGAAGUCACGUGGGUCCAGCCCCGAACCGGGCGUUACGGAGGCAGAAAGCACUGCCACUAGUUCCUCCGAAGCUCGCACGCUGGAGGGAGGCGAGCCCACAAGUUGAGUUCCUAAAAUCAUUAAAGGGGUUCCUUCCUGCGUCUGAUCAUGCAGUUGCCUUUUCUUGGACCGCCCUUGGCCCUUUGUUACCUGUCUCUUCAGUCCUUAUUUGCCUGUCAGAGUCGAGCUCAGAUCCUCUUCCUCCAGGCAGCCCUGCCUGCUCAUUCCGGCUGGCAAUGAGGUCUUUUCCUGGCUGUUUACACCGGUGUUUUACCGUGGAAUGUGACCCUUGCUUGGAUACUGCCUGGCAUUUCCUAAUAAAAGCGAUCAUUUUGUUGCACA